Molecule: transfer RNA, 74 nt
Filed under: Friedmanniomyces endolithicus
Lineage: Eukaryota; Fungi; Ascomycota; Dothideomycetes; Mycosphaerellales; Teratosphaeriaceae
Also listed under: 1 other name
Description: tRNA-Pro
Rfam family: tRNA
About the family: Transfer RNA (tRNA) molecules are approximately 80 nucleotides in length. Their secondary structure includes four short double-helical elements and three loops (D, anti-codon, and T loops).
Source: RNAcentral
CGGAGUGUGGCUCAGUCUGGUAGAGCACCGCGUUCGGGACGCGGGGGUCGUAGGUUCGAAUCCUAUCACUCCGA